This 253-nucleotide ribosomal RNA is filed under the name uncultured bacterium. RNAcentral's name for it is "partial 16S ribosomal RNA". It matches the Rfam family "Bacterial small subunit ribosomal RNA", at positions 524 to 776 of the family's 1533-position model. The record is from RNAcentral.
UACGUAGGGUGCAAGCAUUAAUCGGAAUUAUUGGGCGUAAAGGGCGCGUAGGCGGAUUGAUAAGUCAGAUGUGAAAUACCAAGGCUCAACCUUGGUGCUGCAUUUGAAACUAUUUUUCUAGAGGAUUGACGGAGAAAGGGGAAUUCCACGAGUAGCGGUGAAAUGCGUAGAUACGUGGAGGAACACCGGUGGCGAAAGCGCCUUUCUAGUUUUUACCUGACGCUGAGGCGCGAGAGCAAGGGGAGCAAACAGG